UUUUUUUUUUUUUCAACAUAGUAUUAGAAGUCCUAGACACAGCAAUUAGGCAAGAAAAAAGAAACAAAAGGCAUCUCAAUUGGAAAGGAUUAAGUAAAACUAACACUAUUUAUAGAUGACAUGAUAUUAUACAGAGAAAAUCCUAAAGACUCCAUCCAAAACUGCUGAACUAAUAAAUGAAUUCAGUAAAGCCAAAGCAUGCAAAAUCAAUAUGCAAAAUCUGUUGGUUUCUAUACACUAAUAACCAAUUAUCAGAAAGAAAAAUUAAGAAAACCAUCCCAUUUCCGGUUGCAUCAAAAAGGAUAAAAUGCCCAGGAAUAAAUUUAACCAAGGAGGUGAAAGACAUGUAUUCUGAAAACUCUAAAACAUUGAUGAAAAAAUUGAAGACAACACAAAUAAAAGAAAAAUAUACUAUACUCAUGGAUUGGAAGAAGUAACAUUGUUAAAAUUCCAUACUAACCAACAAUCUACAGAUUCAACACAAUCCCAAUCAAAAUAGCAAAGGCACUUUUCACAGAAAUAGAACAAAUAAUCCUAGGUUUGUAUGAAUCUACAAAAGGCCUCAAAUAGCCAAAGAAAUCUAGAGAAAGAACACAGCUGCAGGUAUCACAUCCCAAUUUCAAAUCAUAAUACAAAGCAAUAGUGACCAAAAGAGUAUGGUACUGGCACAAAAACAGAUAAGGUAACAGAAUAGAAUCCAGAGGUGUACCUACACUUAUAUGGCCAAUUAAUCUAUGACAAAGGAGUCAAGAAUAUACAAGGGGGAAGGACAGUAUCCUCAAUAAAUGGUGCUGGGAAAACUGGACAGCUACGUGUAAAAGAAUGAAACUGGACCAGUUUCUUACAUCGUACAUAAAAACAAACUCCAAAUGGAUUAAAGAUCUAAUUGUAAGACCUGAAACUAUAAAACUACUAGAAAAAAAAACAUAGGCAGUAAAAUCUUUCACACUGAUCUUUAGACAACAGAAGGAAAAAUAAACAAAUGAGACUUCAUCAAACUAAAAGCUUUUGCAUAGCAAAGAAAACCAUCAACAAAAUGAAAAAGCAACCUACUAAGUGUGAGAAGAUAUUCGCAAAUGAUAUAUCCAAUAAGUGGUUAAUAUCCAAAAUAUAUAAAGAACUCAUAUAACUCAAUAUAAAAAAACACAAACAAUCCAAUUAAAAUAUGCAGAGAACGGAAUAGACAUUUUUCUAAAGAAGACACACAGAUGACUAACAGACACAUAAAAGAUGCUCGACAUCAACAUCAGGGAAAUGCAAAUCACAACCACUCUUGAACACUUAGAGGCCAUUGUAGGCUAUUAAUUGGCCUAAUUUCAAUAUA
RNAcentral lists this long non-coding RNA (1324 nucleotides) under Canis lupus familiaris (dog). RNAcentral describes it as "lncRNA (ENSCAFG00805011374.1, ENSCAFG00845004959.1)". Lineage: Eukaryota; Metazoa; Chordata; Mammalia; Carnivora; Canidae. The record is from RNAcentral.